This is a non-coding RNA of Manis javanica (Malayan pangolin), 373 nucleotides long. NCBI's taxonomy places the organism in Eukaryota, Metazoa, Chordata, Mammalia, Pholidota, Manidae. The record is from RefSeq and is a predicted model, not a curated record.
CCGGACGCCCGCCCACAAGAGCAGGGUUACCCGACACCUGCGCGACAGUGGAGAUUUUACUACUUCGUAUUUUAAUCUGCAGCGAGGAAGGCGUUUCCAUUCAAGGACAGGGUCCGGAGCUCGUCGGCCACAGAGGCAGAACAGCCUCCGAGCACGAGAUCCAGAGAAAAGAAGUUAAUUGCUUAAGAUCCAUCAAGUUAAUGGCAGAACUACCUCCCACCUGUAGACUCCAGGCCCGAGGCAGAAUCACCCUACGGCCCUAUGGAGCCAUUAAGCCGAAUCUGACCACUUUCCACUCUCGUGAGUUUGCAGGCUGGAGAGAGAAGCUCUCACCCUACAUCCCAGGUUCCCAGGACCAGGACUCACCUGAGCG